CCUACGGGAGGCAGCAGUGAGGAAUAUUGGUCAAUGGUCGAGAGACUGAACCAGCCAAGCCGCGUGAGGGAUGAAGGUCCUACGGGUCGUAAACCUCUUUUGUCGGGGAGCAAAGAGCGGGACGUGUCCCCCCCUGAGUGUACCUGGAGAACAAGCAUCGGCUAACUCCGUGCCAGCAGCCGCGGUAAUACGGAGGAUGCGAGCGUUAUCCGGAUUUAUUGGGUUUAAGGGGUGCGCAGGCGGUCGGGAAAGUCAGCGGUAAAAGCGCGGGGCUCAACCCCGGCCCGCCGUUGAAACUGGGAGUCUAGAGUGGGAGAGAAGUACGCGGAAUGCGCGGUGUAGCGGUGAAAUGCAUAGAUAUCGCGCAGAACUCCGAUUGCGAAGGCAGCAUGCCGGCGCCAAACUGACGCUGAGGCACGAAAGCGUGGGUAUCGAACAGGAUUAGAUACCCGUGUAGUC
This 459-nucleotide ribosomal RNA is filed under the name uncultured bacterium. Its description in RNAcentral is "partial 16S ribosomal RNA". It matches the Rfam family "Bacterial small subunit ribosomal RNA", at positions 338 to 795 of the family's 1533-position model. The record is from RNAcentral.